CUUCAGCCGCACCCAACCCCCAUCUCCAUCUAUGCCUCGUCCCAGCCACCCUAAACCCGCCGAAAAUUGCAAAGCCCGGCGUCCCACGUACGCCCUGGUCCCCCCAUGGUCCCUCUCUCAUCUUCUCCUUCCCUGGUCCCCCAUGGUCCCCUCUCUCAUCUUCUCCUUCCUUCACGUAGCAAUGAUAACAAACUCAGAAUAUUCUCUAAUGAUUUCGCCCAAAUCGAAUCCGUCAUCCCUCUCACGCGCUUUAGCUUUCUUGGACAAAUCUCGGAUAAAUUGGAGCGGUCGGAUGUGAGCGAAAACGGAUCCACGCCUUCCAUUUUUUCGAUUUUUGUUUUAAUGAAAAGUUUUCGGGAGUUUUCAGUUUUGACGUUAUUUUGGGGAUAAUUUUGGAAUUUCUUGGAAAAGAAGCAAAAUGAAGCUUCUAGGAUCCCUAUAUAUUUGGGAUUUUCGGACAGAGAAAGGGGGUUCACGGAAAAUUUGGAGAGAAGUUGAGGAAAAACUCGGGUUUAAUUUUGAACUCGAGAGACCUUCUUUUGGUUUUUACUACUUCGUUUACUUCAAAAGUCAACAAAAUUAUAGAUCAAAAAAGAUAGCUUGAGCUUGGUUUUUUGUUCAAGUUUGGUUUUCCAUUUUUAAAAAAUCAGAAAAAGAGGUACUGAAAACACUUCUGUUUCCUGGCUUUUCGAUUUUCGGAUUUAUCUUGCAAAAAUGGAGUUCGUUUGAGUGAAGUCCGUCGCUAUUGUUGCUCAUUGUUCGAGUUCUGACCGUGACUGCCAUUUCAUCUUUGUUCGUGUUACGGCUGUAUUUUAUUUGUUAAUCGAAAGCAAUUUCAGAUGAAUUGAAGAUGAAAGCAGAGCAAAAGGGAUACUUAAACGCUGAAAGUGUGCUCGAGAGUAGUAAGAAAGAGAGGCCAGGUAAAGGCCAACUCAAUCAGGCUUUAGCCUAGCGAGGGCAGCCAAAAGCCAGGCUGAACUAGGCUUUAACCUGGCGAGGCCAGGCUGAACCAGGCUUUAGCCUGGCGAGGCCAGACUGAGGCUGGCGUUAGGCUGGCGGCGCCAGGCCUGGUCCCAGGUGCAGUCUGCGUUUUGAAGGCUUAUUUCAUCUCCUGAUUUGACUACGACUUGGCCUACACAUAUAAAUAGACCUAAAAACGUCGGUUUUGACAGACUUUAGACCUAGGGAGAGCACGGAGCCGCCGUGGAGACCGAGAAGAGAGAUUGAGAUUGGACAGAUUUGGGAGGGGAUUCGACCUAAGGAGGCAAGAACACACUAGGAGCAAGACGGAGAAUUCUUCUACGAGUUUUUCACUUCAUUCUUCCUAUUUCCAUUAUUGGUUAUGAAUUCUAGUAUUGUAGUUAUGCAUACUAUUAUGAAUAGCUAAUUUGUUAUCUAGGGUUUUGAUGGAACCUAUUGGAAGAUGAAUUUCCUGUUAUAUUAAUAUAGAUUUGUUGUAGUA
Molecule: non-coding RNA, 1462 nt
Organism: Nicotiana tabacum (common tobacco)
Lineage: Eukaryota; Viridiplantae; Streptophyta; Magnoliopsida; Solanales; Solanaceae
Source: RefSeq, a predicted model, not a curated record